GACCAGGUAGCUCAAUUGGUAAUGCGUCCGUCUACAGUCCGGAAGGUCCCGGGUUCGAAACCCGGUCUGGCCA
RNAcentral lists this transfer RNA (73 nucleotides) under Mizuhopecten yessoensis (Yesso scallop). RNAcentral describes it as "tRNA-Cys". It matches the Rfam family "tRNA". Rfam says of the family: Transfer RNA (tRNA) molecules are approximately 80 nucleotides in length. Lineage: Eukaryota; Metazoa; Mollusca; Bivalvia; Pectinida; Pectinidae. The record is from Rfam by way of RNAcentral.